RNAcentral lists this ribosomal RNA (513 nucleotides) under uncultured bacterium. RNAcentral describes it as "partial 16S ribosomal RNA". It matches the Rfam family "Bacterial small subunit ribosomal RNA", at positions 28 to 523 of the family's 1533-position model. The record is from RNAcentral.
GACGAACGCUGGCGGCAUGCCUAAUACAUGCAAGUCGAGCGAACAGAUGAAGUGCUUGCGCUUCUGACGUUAGCGGCGAACGGGUGAGUAACACGUAAGGAAUCUACCUAUAAGCGGGGGAUAACAUUCGGAAACGGGUGCUAAUACCGCAUAAUAUCUUCUUCCGCAUGGAAGAAGAUUGAAAGACGGCUCUGCUGUCACUUAUAGAUGACCUUGCGGUGCAUUAGUUAGUUGGUGGGGUAAUGGCCUACCAAGACGAUGAUGCAUAGCCGACCUGCGAGGGUGAUCGGCCACAUUGGGACUGAGACACGGCCCAAACUCCUACGGGAGGCAGCAGUGGGGAAUCUUCCGCAAUGGGCGAAAGCCUGACGGAGCAAUGCCGCGUGAGUGAAGAAGGCCUUCGGGUCGUAAAACUCUGUUAUAAGAGAAGAACAAAUUGUAGAGUAACUGCUACAGUCUUGACGGUAUCUUAUCAGAAAGCCACGGCUAACUACGUGCCAGCCGCCGCCGUAA